Molecule: ribosomal RNA, 253 nt
Filed under: uncultured bacterium
Lineage: Bacteria
Description: partial 16S ribosomal RNA
Rfam family: Bacterial small subunit ribosomal RNA
Source: RNAcentral
GACGUAGGGGGCGAGCGUUGUCCGGAUUCAUUGGGCGUAAAGCGCGCGCAGGCGGCCCGGUAAGUCGGAUGUGAAAUCCCACGGCUCAACCGUGGAACUGCAUUCGAUACUGUCGGGCUAGAGGCAGGUAGGGGAGAUCGGAAUUCCUGGUGUAGCGGUGAAAUGCGUAGAGAUCCGGAGGAACACCAGUGGCGAAGGCGACACGCUGGGCCGUACCUGACACUGAUGCGCGACAGCAUGGGGAGCAAACAGG